UACUUUGCAUGUUUGUCAAGACUGUCCUUAUGUAGCAUAAGUUUGGCAACAGAUAGAUAUUAGUUGGAAUCUGUAUCAAACAGGGGAGUCAUUCCUUCAAUGGCUUCAACACUUGUUUUUAGGGAACAGUCAGCAACAAUCUUUGAUUACUGUCAUCAUCUGGGCUUUAUGGCUAUCAAGAAACAAGUUGAUGCAUGAAGGCAAAAGACAACCAGUCAGUGAUUUUUGCACUUUUGUAUUGGGAUAUAUCAGAGAACUGGAAUUGCUGGAGAAUUCUUACCCAAGGACUCCAUAAAAUUAGGCAGUGCGAUGGCAACCUCCGGAGGAUCAGUGGGUUAGAGUUAACUUUGAUAGGGACUUUUACAGUGACCUGGAAGCAUCUAGUACGAGAAUAAUCAUUAGGGAUACCAGCGGUUUGAUAAUGGGAGCGACAUGCAGAUGGAAUAGAAACAUACUAUCAGUUGAAGCAGUGGAAGCAUUGGUCGCUGUUCAGGCCAUUCAAUUUGCCCAAGAGAUGGGGUUUCACAGAGUCGAGUUCAAGGGCGAUUCACUGGUGGUUAUCUCAAAGUUGAAGAUACAAGGAUUAGACACAUAUUUGACCCAUACUUUAUUUAAUAAUUAAAGCCCA
Molecule: long non-coding RNA, 628 nt
Filed under: Gossypium barbadense (sea-island cotton)
Lineage: Eukaryota; Viridiplantae; Streptophyta; Magnoliopsida; Malvales; Malvaceae
Description: long non-coding RNA (GBAR_LNC003279)
Source: RNAcentral